This 108-nucleotide transfer RNA is filed under the name Gemmatimonadota bacterium. Its description in RNAcentral is "tRNA-OTHER". The record is from RNAcentral. Lineage: Bacteria; Pseudomonadati; Gemmatimonadota.
GGUCAGGUGCACGUUCACCCUCUAACGCGCGGCCUCGCGUCGCACCGAGUCCCGGCCCCGACGGGACUGAAAAUCCGCGCGUCGGCGGUUCGAUUCCGUCCCUGGCCA